GACGAACGCUGGCGGCGUGCCUAAUACAUGCAAGUAGGACGCUGAAGGAGGAGCUUGCUUCUCUGGAUGAGUUGCGAACGGGUGAGUAACGCGUAGGUAACCUGCCUGGUAGCGGGGGAUAACUAUUGGAAACGAUAGCUAAUACCGCAUAAUAGUAGAUGUUGCAUGACAUUUGCUUAAAAGGUGCAAUUGCAUCACUACCAGAUGGACCUGCGUUGUAUUAGCUAGUUGGUGGGGUAACGGCUCACCAAGGCGACGAUACAUAGCCGACCUGAGAGGGUGAUCGGCCACACUGGGACUGAGACACGGCCCAGACUCCUACGGGAGGCAGCAGUAGGGAAUCUUCGGCAAUGGACGGAAGUCUGACCGAGCAACGCCGCGUGAGUGAAGAAGGUUUUCGGAUCGUAAAGCUCUGUUGUAAGAGAAGAACGAGUGUGAGAGUGGAAAGUUCACACUGUGACGGUAUCUUACCAGAAAGAGACGGCUAACUACGUG
RNAcentral lists this ribosomal RNA (495 nucleotides) under uncultured bacterium. RNAcentral's name for it is "partial 16S ribosomal RNA". It matches the Rfam family "Bacterial small subunit ribosomal RNA", at positions 28 to 507 of the family's 1533-position model. The record is from RNAcentral.